CUUAAGCAUAUCAAUAAGCGGAGGAAAAGAAACCAACAGGGAUUGCCCUAGUAACGGCGAGUGAAGCGGCAACAGCUCAAAUUUGAAAUCUGGCGCAAGCCCGAGUUGUAAUUUGUAGAGGAUGCUUCUGGGUAGCGGCCGGUCUAAGUUCCUUGGAACAGGACGUCAUAGAGGGUGAGAAUCCCGUAUGUGACUGGCUUGCACCCUCCACGUAGCUCCUUCGACGAGUCGAGUUGUUUGGGAAUGCAGCUCUAAAUGGGAGGUAAAUUUCUUCUAAAGCUAAAUACCGGCCAGAGACCGAUAGCGCACAAGUAGAGUGAUCGAAAGAUGAAAAGCACUUUGGAAAGAGAGUUAAAAAGCACGUGAAAUUGUUGAAAGGGAAGCGCCCGCAACCAGACUUUGCGGCAGUGUUCGGCCGGUCUUCUGACCGGUUUACUCGCUGUCGUGAGGCCAUCAUCGUCUGGGACCGCUGGAUAAGACCUUAGGAAUGUGGCUCCCCUCGGGGAGUGUUAUAGCCUCUGGUGAUGCAGCGCGUCUCGGGCGAGGUCCGCGCUUCGGCAAGGAUGAUGGCGUAAUGGUUGUCGGCGGCCCGUCUUGAAACACGGACCAAGGAGUCUAACAUCUAUGCGAGUGUUCGGGUGUCAAACCCCUACGCGUAAUGAAAGUGAACGGAGGUGGGAACUUUUUGUGCACCAUCGACCGAUCCUGAUGUCCUCGGAUGGAUUUGAGUAAGAGCAUAGCUGUUGGGACCCGAAAGAUGGUGAACUAUGCCUGAAUAGGGUGAAGCCAGAGGAAACUCUGGUGGAGGCUCGCAGCGGUUCUGACGUGCAAAUCGAUCGUCAAAUUUGGGUAUAGGGGCGAAAGACUAAUC
Molecule: ribosomal RNA, 871 nt
Filed under: Pseudocercospora macadamiae
Lineage: Eukaryota; Fungi; Ascomycota; Dothideomycetes; Mycosphaerellales; Mycosphaerellaceae
Description: eukaryotic LSU rRNA
Rfam family: Eukaryotic large subunit ribosomal RNA
Source: RNAcentral